UCACAGCAACAAAUUCGUCACUACUAAUCUUAAGGUCAUCAACUUGAACAGUCUCCCAUUUCUUUGCUAUGGCAUUGUAUUCGAAUGGAACAUUAUGGAGCUCACAGUAUUUUGCCAAGCGGCGGCCANNNNNNNNNNNUUGGACACUCUCUGCAGGGCGGAAACCACUUUGCGGAAGCUCUAUCCCUGUAAUACGCAGCUUUGGAGGCCCACCAGCUCUUUUUGAGAGGCGAUAAAUAAGACCAGGCCACUGGAAACCAUAUAAUAUACCA
This 272-nucleotide unclassified non-coding RNA is filed under the name Hevea brasiliensis (rubber tree). The record is from RNAcentral. Lineage: Eukaryota; Viridiplantae; Streptophyta; Magnoliopsida; Malpighiales; Euphorbiaceae.